CGGCUUCUGGGAUCCGAUUAGAGUUUGAUCCUGGCUCAGAUUGAACGCUGGCGGCAGGCCUAACACAUGCAAGUCGAACGGCAGCACAGAAGAGCUUGCUCUUUGGGUGGCGAGUGGCGGACGGGUGAGUAAUGUCUGGGAAACUGCCCGAUGGAGGGGGAUAACUACUGGAAACGGUAGCUAAUACCGCAUAACGUCGCAAGACCAAAGUGGGGGACCUUCGGGCCUCACACCAUCGGAUGUGCCCAGAUGGGAUUAGCUAGUAGGUGGGGUAAUGGCUCACCUAGGCGACGAUCCCUAGCUGGUCUGAGAGGAUGACCAGCCACACUGGAACUGAGACACGGUCCAGACUCCUACGGGAGGCAGCUGUGGGGCAUAUAUUGGCACCAUUGGGGCGCAAGCCUGAUGCAGCCAUGGCGGGUGUUAUGAAGAAGGCCUUCGGGUUGUAAAGUACUUUCAGCGGGGAGGAAGGCGGUGAGGUUAAUUACCUCGCCGAUUGACGUUACCCGCAGAAGAAGCACCGGCUAACUCCGUGCCAGCAGCCGCGGUAAUACGGAGGGUGCAAGCGUUAAAUCGGAAAUUACUGGGCGUAAAGCGCACGCAGGCGGGUCUGUUAAGUCAGAUGUGAAAUCCCCCGGGCUUAACCUGGGAAACUGCAUUUGAAACUGGCAGGGCUUGAGUCUCGUAGAGGGGGGUAGAAUUCCAGGUGUAGCGGUGAAAUGCGUAGAGAUCUGGAGGAAUACCGGGUGGCGAAGGCGGCCCCCUGGACGAAGACUGACGCUCAGGUGCGAAAGCGUGGGGAGCAAACAGGAUUAGAUACCCUGGUAGUCCACGCCGUAAACGAUGUCGACUUGGGAGGUUGUGCCCUUGAGGCGUGGCUUCCGGAGCUAACGCGUUAAGUCGACCGCCUGGGGAGUACGGCCGCAAGGUUAAAACUCAAAUGAUUUGACGGGGGCCCGCACCAGCGGUGGAGCAUGUGGUUUAAUUCGAUGCAACGCGAAGAACCUUACCUGGCCCUUGACAUUCCAGAGAACUUAGCCAGAGAAUGCCUUUGGGUGCCUUCGGGAGCUCUGAGACAGGUGCUGCAUGGCUGUCGUCAGCUCGUGUUGUGCAAUGUUGGGUCUAAGUCCCGCAACGAUGCGCAAAUCCCGUUAGUCAGUUUGUUGCCAGCGGUUCGGCCGGGAACUCAAAGGAGACUGCCGGUGAUAAACCGGAGGAAGGUGGGGAUGACGUCAAGUCAUCAUGGCCCUUACGGCCAGGGCUACACACGUGCUACAAUGGCGCAUACAAAGAGAAGCGACCUCGCGAGAGCAAGCGGACCUCAUAAAGUGCGUCGUAGUCCGGAUUGGAGUCUGCAACUCGACUCCAUGAAGUCGGAAUCGCUAGUAAUCGUAGAUCAGAAUGCUACGGUGAAUACGUUCCCGGGCCUUGUACACACCGCCCGUCACACCAUGGGAGUGGGUUGCAAAAGAAGUAGGUAGCUUAACCUUCGGGAGGGCGCUUACCACUUUGUGAUUCAUGACUGGGGUGAAGUCGUUAAACAAGGUAACCGUAAAUCUAGAUGCCUUUCGGGAAGAGCAAGA
This 1583-nucleotide ribosomal RNA is filed under the name Erwinia sp. E280d. RNAcentral describes it as "bacterial SSU rRNA". It matches the Rfam family "Bacterial small subunit ribosomal RNA". The record is from RNAcentral. Lineage: Bacteria; Pseudomonadati; Pseudomonadota; Gammaproteobacteria; Enterobacterales; Erwiniaceae.